This 425-nucleotide ribosomal RNA is filed under the name uncultured bacterium. RNAcentral describes it as "partial 16S ribosomal RNA". It matches the Rfam family "Bacterial small subunit ribosomal RNA", at positions 354 to 796 of the family's 1533-position model. The record is from RNAcentral.
GUGGGGAAUAUUGCACAAUGGGGGGAACCCUGAUGCAGCGACGCCGCGUGAGUGAAGAAGUAUUUCGGUAUGUAAAGCUCUAUCAGCAGGGAAGAAAAUGACGGUACCUGACUAAGAAGCCCCGGCUAACUACGUGCCAGCAGCCGCGGUAAUACGUAGGGGGCAAGCGUUAUCCGGAAUUACUGGGUGUAAAGGGUGCGUAGGUGGUAUGGCAAGUCAGAAGUGAAAACCCAGGGCUUAACUCUGGGACUGCUUUUGAAACUGUCAGACUGGAGUGCAGGAGAGGUAAGCGGAAUUUCUAGUGUAGCGGUGAAAUGCGUAGAUAUUAGGAGGAACAUCAGUGGCGAAGGCGGCUUACUGGACUGAAACUGACACUGAGGCACGAAAGCGUGGGGAGCAAACAGGAUUAGAUACCCUUGUAGUCC